CAGUCGCCGCGGUAAUACGGAGGAUCCAAGCGUUAUCCGGAAUCAUUGGGUUUAAAGGGUCCGUAGGCGGUCUUGUAAGUCAGUGGUGAAAGCCCAUCGCUCAACGGUGGAACGGCCAUUGAUACUGCAGGACUUGAAUUAUUGGGAAGUAACUAGAAUAUGUAGUGUAGCGGUGAAAUGCUUAGAGAUUACAUGGAAUACCAAUUGCGAAGGCAGGUUACUACCAAUUGAUUGACGCUGACGGACGAAAGCGUGGGUAGCGAACAGGAUUAGAUACCCCAGUAGUCCCUGUCUCUUAUAC
This 301-nucleotide ribosomal RNA is filed under the name uncultured bacterium. RNAcentral's name for it is "partial 16S ribosomal RNA". It matches the Rfam family "Bacterial small subunit ribosomal RNA", at positions 509 to 807 of the family's 1533-position model. The record is from RNAcentral.